AAAUUAUUAGUGUACAUGAAUUUAAUUUAAAAAUAUCUGAUUUUUCAUUUCAGAUUUCAAGAUGUGGAAACCACUGAGGUGCUGUUGCUUCAAGUUACGGACUGGAAGUCUUAUUAUUGGAUUCCUGUCCAUGAUCCGUGCCGUCCUGAAAAUUGUCUGCUGCAUAAUCUUCGCAAUUUUGAUGACGAAUUACAUACUCCAAUCCAGCUCUCAACAAACAUAUAGUGAAGACAGCGACAUGUGUGCAGAACAGAUUCUGAAUAUCAUCUAUGGAAUUGUGGCCUUUGGUGUAGUGACGAGCGUCAUUCAACUAGUAUUGAGCAUUAUUUUCAUCUGUGGCAUUUUCAAGGU
This is a non-coding RNA of Procambarus clarkii (red swamp crayfish), 351 nucleotides long. NCBI's taxonomy places the organism in Eukaryota, Metazoa, Arthropoda, Malacostraca, Decapoda, Cambaridae. The record is from RefSeq and is a predicted model, not a curated record.